This 402-nucleotide unclassified non-coding RNA is filed under the name Hevea brasiliensis (rubber tree). Lineage: Eukaryota; Viridiplantae; Streptophyta; Magnoliopsida; Malpighiales; Euphorbiaceae. The record is from RNAcentral.
CUUCGCAUAUAUUCCCUGGAGGAGGCAACUUUUGGUUCAGUUCUUGUAUCCCGAGCAAUCAGAGCUGCUCAUUGUUUGACUUCUAUCCAGUUUUCACCCACUUCUGAGCAUAUAUUGUUGGCUUACGGCCGACGUCAUGGAUCCCUUCUUAAAAGCAUCGUUAUUGAUGGGGAAACAACAUCUCCUAUUUACACAGUUUUAGAGGUUUACAGAGUUUCAGAUAUGGAACUGGUGAGAGUUCUUCCUAGUGCAGAGGACGAGGUCAAUGUUGCUUGCUUUCAUCCUUUUGCUGGGGGAGGUCUUGUUUAUGGAACUAAGGAAGGGAAACUUAGGGUCCUCCAAUAUGAUGGUGCUCGUGGUGUGAAUUGCACUGGACCAAAUUAUUCUCCAGAAGAUAACUUG